Molecule: transfer RNA, 75 nt
Filed under: Streptococcus varani
Lineage: Bacteria; Bacillati; Bacillota; Bacilli; Lactobacillales; Streptococcaceae
Description: tRNA-Thr
Rfam family: tRNA
About the family: Transfer RNA (tRNA) molecules are approximately 80 nucleotides in length. Their secondary structure includes four short double-helical elements and three loops (D, anti-codon, and T loops).
Source: RNAcentral
UGCUGGUUUAGCUCAGUCGGUAGAGCGCAUCCAUGGUAAGGAUGAGGUCGCCGGUUCGAUCCCGGCAACUAGCAU